UGCUCCUUAAGAAAAUUUGUACGUCGUUUUCCAAGCAGACCGCGUUUAGUUUACGCGAAGUAGAAAAAUGAAGUUGUGUAUGCUCUAUGAUGAUCCGCCGCAGGCUUAGGCCUUUUCCCCGAUGAGCAGUGUUUUGUAUGCGAUGUCGCAUGUCUGGACUUGUUCAGUGUUGCAAUUUUUACCCUUCGUUAAUAUCUUGUUGUUGUCGUCGUCUUGUGUUAGACGUUGAGCUUCGUAGCGAUGUGCGGUAACGCUACGAUUAUUCCUGAGCGCUCCGUGUGUUUAAUGCGUUGUCCUCUUUGCGUGCAUGCGUGUGCUUUUUUUCUCCUGAUUUGUGACGUCCUCGUGGCAUGUCUGGACUUGUUUAGCAGUGUUGCUGUUCUUCCCGCUGCUAGUAUCUUGUUGGUGUCAUGUUGUGCUAGCCGCGUGGCGAUGUGCUGUGGUCUUAAGCCUUUUCCCUGCUCACCUAAGGAAAUUUGUGUAUCCCUGUCCUGUGCUUUCUUUACGCAAAGGUAAUGCGACUGUGUAUGUGGCAUUAUGCAAGAAUUAUCUGGUGGCAGAAAUAGGCGUAUUUUUCUCAGUGUAUUGGCGUGCGCUACGGUUUCUUGCAGUUACAGCUAUUGGAGCACACAUACGUGUAAUUUUUCGCGGUUCUUUUCUCCUUUCACGGCUUUUACUCAGAAUGUAGAUGAGGGGAAACAGUCAGCAUCCAGGUAGAGCAGGAGAAAGCCGCUCGGCAGAGGAGAGAGUUCAUGAGAAUGGAAUUUGUUUGUUUUUUGUUAUAUGUUGAGUGUUAGUAUUCGCUUUCCUCGAUAUGUUGAGGAAGUCAGCCGUUAUAGGUAUUUGUGCAGAAAUGCUGGUAUCUGAGUGUGUGGAGUAGAAAUUCCUAUAAAGCACCUCUCCUUGUGCAUUCCUGAGCUGCUGUGUGCGCGCGCGUGCUUCUUUUUCCUGGAUUGCGACGUCAUGAUGGCAUGUUGGGGCUUGUUUAGCAGUGUUGCAAUUUUACCCGCCGCUAUUAUCUUGUUAUCUUGUGUUAGCCGCGUAGCGAUGUCCAGUGACUCUGCUAUUAUUCCUGAGGUCUUAAGCCUUUUCCCUGCUCACCUAAGGAAAUUUGUGUAUCCCUGUCCUGUGCUUUCUUUGCGACAAUGCGUCUGUGUAUGUGGCACUAUCAGAUACCAGACAUGAGUGUCCUUUUCUUGGUUUAUUGGCAUAUGCUUCAGGUUUUUUUAAGUCAAGCACAAGUGCGCGCAAUUUUUCGCUGCUCUCUUCCUCAGAUCACCGAUUUUACGAAGAAGACAGUCGCAUGGUACAGCUGAGAAGAGGGUUUCUCUGAUUGUUUGUUUGAUUUUGUUGGGUGUUCGAUAUGUUGAGGAAGUCAGCUGUUAAAGGUAUCCGUGAAGAAAUGCUUGCACCUGAGCGCAGGAUAGGAAUUCCUGAAGCACGGCACCCUCAGUGUAAAUUAAUUAUGUUGGAUAUGAGUCUGCUUCCCUGCAUGACAAGGCUGAAAUGGGAAGAGAGAAAAAAUUGGAGCGCUUCAUUAGUAGCGAUCCAAGUAAUAGGGCAAUUAUAGUUUCCAUAGAAAGUAGAAUUUUAAUGGGCUCCUAAAAUUAUAGUUUAGUUGUAGUUUUUCUAAACUGCAAUGCAAUAAUCAUUAAUAUAGUAUAGGAAUGCUAUCGUGUUCCCGUAAAGGCGUUCUGUCUUGUGCUUUGGAAUGCGCGAAUAGAACUUUGCUCGCAGCCUUUCCCGCCUUCAUGCUCGCAAUGCGCGAAUGGAACUUUGCCCACCCGGCUUCCGCGCCUUUUUUGCUCGCGGGUGUAGCCUCAGACAACGAAUGUAUGAGCAUAGAAAGGGUCACGUAUUACAUAAGCCUGGAGGUGAUGUUGAGUGGUCUCACUUAUUAUUUUAAAAGAGCAGUGGCAGUUUACUGUAAUUCUAAUGACCAUGAUGAGCCUUUGGGGUGAAAAUCGUUAAUAUGCGGGGUGCUUUUUUGUUGAAUUUUAAUGAGAGAAUCAAUGUCAUUAAGAGUAGGACAAAGGAAAUAAUCUUGCGAUUCAAUAAUUAAUAGAAGUCUUUGCCGCUGUCUUCUUCUUCAGACAGGAUGUGAUGACGACACGCAGUCUGUAGCAAUGCAUUGACCGUCACUGGAAAAAAAGUGUAGCAAUAGAAAAAUGGUGCGUAUUGCCCUGGACGGAUUUAUGAUGUGCACUGUUUUUGAACAAGAGGAGUGCGUGUGCUUGGAAAUAGUUUGAUGCUGGUUUCCUUCUUUGUUUCUUUUCGCUUUUUCCCCCUUGUUGUCUGAUAAACAUGCGCUGACAUGCCUGGGCUUGUUCUGACAUGCUUUCCUUCUAGAUGUAGAUUUUUCCUUUUUGAAGAGAAACCUUCUUGACGAUAGUGCUGCCUUGAAUGGGAAUAGUGCUAUUCUUAAUACUUUUGCGAUUCAUUUAGUUCAGAGAGUAUAACCGCGAGGGGGACAGGUGUGUGACUUUAUUCAGGAGGAACAAAGCAUCAUUAUUCAAUUAUCUGCAUGGCUCUCGGGUGGUCCUGGAGGUGAUGUGGAGUGGACUCACUUAUUAUUUUAAAGAGCAGUGGUAGUUUACUGUAAUUCUAAUGACCAUGAUGAGCCUUUGGGGUGAAAAUCGUUAAUAUGCAGGGUGCUUUUUUGUUGAAUUUUAAUGAGAGAAUCAAUGUCAUUAAGAGUAGGACAAAGGAAAUAAUCUUGCGAUUCAAUAAAUAAUAGGAGUCUUUGCCGGUGUCUUCUUCUUCGGACAGGAUGUGAUGACGUCACGCAGUCUGUAGCAAUGCAUUGACCGUUACUGGAAAAAAGUGUGGCAAUAGAAAAAUGGUGUGUAUUGUCCUGGGCAGAUUUAUGAUGAGCACUGUUUUUGAAUAAGAAGAAAUAGUUUGAUGCUGGUUUCCUUCUUUGUUUCUUUUCGCUUUUUCCCCCCUUGUCUGACAAACAUGUGCUGACAUGCCUGGGCUUGUUCUGACAUGCUUUCCUUCUGCAUGUAGUUUUUUUUCUUUUUGUACAGACAUAUUCUUGACGAUAGUGCUGCCUUGAAUGGGAGUAGAGCUAUUCUUAAUAAUUUUGCGAUUCAUUUAGUUCAGAGAGUAACCGCGAGGGGGACAGGUGUGUGACUUUAUGUCUUGCUGAACCAUUUUUUUUCCUGUACAGUAAGACUUUGGGAAUGAAAUGCUACAAUCUCCUCUUGUCUAUGGUGUUUUUCUGCAAUAGUUCCCCACGCAAUCAUUAUAGUAGAAUAAAGGAAAUAAUCUUGGGAUAGUGAUUCAAUAAAUAAUAUGUCCCCUGUCUAGAGCGUACGCGUCCUUGAGCCACGCACCUGCAUGAUGACCGCAUACCGAGAGACUAUUGUUUCAGGUUGACCUUGUCUAGAGGAGCAUUAGUGGAAAAAAACUGUGUAGCCCUGAGACAAUAGGAUGCCGUUACGACCAAUGAGAACGGCCUGCAGGGGGCGCAAGGAUUCACUUCUCUCUUGGACACUGACGGGUCUCGACACGCAAAUUCUGCUCCUGGCGUUGGCCGUCAGUGGAAGAGCGUAGCUUCGGUCUGCCUCUGAUGGGGUGCGGAUGUGUGGUUCGUCACUGGUGAAUGGUGUACGACGAUGCAGGUGGAUUUUGUGACGAGCGGAUUUACGAUGAGGGAAUGCUGUGAACGGGAAAAAUGAUGGUGAGUGCCUUUUUCACUCUGUUCAAGUGUUUGUUUUCCUCUGUUGCCCAGCAGUCGUACGAAUUUGUUCUGACAUGCCCCGAUAUGCAUGCUUUCCUGUGUUGACGUUUUGUAAUUUUUCUCUUUUGACAAGGAACAUUGUUGUCUUGACGAUAGUGCUGCCCUGAGUUCUGCGCUCCUGUUUACCCGUACUCUGUGUUGAUUUGUUGAGUACCUAGUCCUCUUAUUUGCCGUUGAUGGAGUUACGUGUUAGGAUAUUUUGUUCUUUUGCAAGUCUCAUUUAGUAAGUCCUUCGAUCAGCUUUCAUGCAUGGUGCUCUUCUGCAAUAGUUUCCUAUGCAAUCGUUAUAGAAGAAUAAAGGAAAUAAUCUUGGGAUAGUGAUUCGAUAAAUAAUAGGUCCCCUGUCUAGAGCGCACGCGUCCUUGAGCCACGCAGGUGCAUGAUGACGUCAUACCGUGGCUUCAUUGUAGAUUGACCAAAGGAGCAUUAGUGGAAAAAAACAGGGUAGCCCUGAGACAAUAGGAUGAUGUCUGGACCAAUGAGAACUGCCAGCAGGGGGCGCAGGAAUGCUCUUCUCACUUAGCCUCACGACCAAUGAGAACGGCCAGCAGGGGGCGCAGGAAUGCUCUUCUCACUUAGCCUCUCGCAGGUGGCGGUAGGAGCGCGCAGAGGGCGCUACGAGCGCGCGCAUGCGUAGCACCCGUAGAGUGGCGCUUACGUCAGUCCACCUCUGGCUCUCGUUGGGAGAAGACGUGCGGUCGUUCGCUCCGUCGUCACUUGACCCCUGGCUGUCGACGAGAGCAGUCGCAUCGGUCUGCGCUCCUACUGUGAGCUGUCCUAGCUUGCCCAGACAUGCCGUGAUGACGUCACAGCUAACGUUACAGGAUGUCCGGAACUGGUGGUCAUAGCUGCGAUGCUUUGCAACCUGCCUCCGUGCUCCGUCGCCCAGCGACGGUCAGCGGCCUUUCCGGGUCGCUUUCUUCAAGAUGGCGCCGUUGAUCUUCAAUUAAACUCCUUCUCUCCACUCUA
Long non-coding RNA from Ornithodoros turicata, 4714 nucleotides. RefSeq lists it as uncharacterized. The transcript is spliced from 2 exons. NCBI's taxonomy places the organism in Eukaryota, Metazoa, Arthropoda, Arachnida, Ixodida, Argasidae. The record is from RefSeq and is a predicted model, not a curated record.